This 406-nucleotide ribosomal RNA is filed under the name uncultured bacterium. RNAcentral's name for it is "bacterial SSU rRNA". It matches the Rfam family "Bacterial small subunit ribosomal RNA", at positions 987 to 1392 of the family's 1533-position model. The record is from RNAcentral.
UCCUUUUGACCGAUGCCUAAUCGCAUCUUUCCCUUCGGGGACAGAAGUGACAGGUGGUGCAUGGUUGUCGUCAGCUCGUGUCGUGAGAUGUUGGGUUAAGUCCCGCAACGAGCGCAACCCUUGCCUUUAGUUGCCAGCAUUAAGUUGGGCACUCUAGAGGGACUGCCAGGGAUAACCUGGAGGAAGGUGGGGAUGACGUCAAAUCAUCAUGCCCCUUAUGCUUAGGGCUACACACGUGCUACAAUGGGUGGUACAGAGGGCAGCCAAGUCGUGAGGCGGAGCUGAUCCCUUAAAGCCAUUCUCAGUUCGGAUUGUAGGCUGAAACUCGCCUACAUGAAGCUGGAGUUACUAGUAAUCGCAGAUCAGAAUGCUGCGGUGAAUGCGUUCCCGGGUCUUGUACGCACCG